UGAGAACAUAGCAGACGCUUUCCUCUCUAGGCUUGUUUUCUAUUUCUAAGAUUCUUGUUUCUUUAAUACUCAUCUUAGGUUGUUUUCAUAAUUCAAGGAGUCUUGGGGAAAACACAUGGCCUAAACUUGAGUAGAAUCAUAAAAGGAAGGGAAGAAAGAAAAAUAAGUGAGUAAAGCAAAGAUGGAAUAGGAAAUGGAGGACCGAAGGAAGGAAGAUGGAUUUAAAGGAGGUCUGAAUAGGAAUGGAGACACAGAAAGCUAGACAAUGUAUCAUAUCAGCCUUACAAAAUGGAAGUAGUUCAUGGUACAGAUGAAGCUUGGAGAAUGUGUGCAUACUUGCCUGUGGAUGCUGAGGGCAGAAAGCUGCAGCUGUCUUCCUGUACCCUUCUCUGCCUUUUGAAGUUGGGUUUCUCAAUGAACCUGGACAUCAUG
Peromyscus leucopus (white-footed mouse) is the source of this 432-nucleotide long non-coding RNA. RefSeq lists it as uncharacterized. The record is from RefSeq and is a predicted model, not a curated record. The transcript has 4 exons. NCBI's taxonomy places the organism in Eukaryota, Metazoa, Chordata, Mammalia, Rodentia, Cricetidae.